GCGCACGUGGCGAAAUUGGUAGACGCACUGUCUUCAGGUGGCAGCGCCUUCGGGUGUGAAGGUUCGAAUCCUUUCGUGCGCA
RNAcentral lists this transfer RNA (82 nucleotides) under Cyclobacterium lianum. It matches the Rfam family "tRNA". From Rfam's summary of the family: Transfer RNA (tRNA) molecules are approximately 80 nucleotides in length. Lineage: Bacteria; Pseudomonadati; Bacteroidota; Cytophagia; Cytophagales; Cyclobacteriaceae. The record is from Rfam by way of RNAcentral. RNAcentral also lists the same sequence under 5 other names.